GUAGUUGAUUAAGUUAUAAAGUGAAAAUAAUACUCGUGUGAAUCAGAACUAGAACAGACGAAACAAAUAACUUCUAUACUGCUUGGGCAGCAAUUUCAGUUGAAAAGCUAAAUGUCAGACAAAGCUAUCAGCUUUCAAUUUCAAGAAAGGGAAAAAGAUGGCAGAUUUUGGGAUCAAAUGGUUCGCAAUCUAAGAAUCAUCUGCAUAUGGAUACAAACUUCACAUUGAACACAUGGACAAGUGAUUUCAAGGCAAUUGGACUAAUCCUAAAUAACAUAAAUUUCAGCAACAACUUGUCUAAAAGAGGGGUAAAGCAAUCACUGAAUACCAAAUUACAGUAAGCAUAAUUUUCCACUCGGUAUCCAUACAUGCAAGCAAAAAAGGAAUUACAAACUGAAAUUAAAUAAGAAACCCAAAUUUCAGCUUUAAACAAGAAUCACCCACUUGAAAAAGAAGUUAUCAGAAACAGUUUCAGAGGAUAAACGUACAGAUGUAUCAA
Molecule: unclassified non-coding RNA, 499 nt
Filed under: Hevea brasiliensis (rubber tree)
Lineage: Eukaryota; Viridiplantae; Streptophyta; Magnoliopsida; Malpighiales; Euphorbiaceae
Source: RNAcentral